Molecule: long non-coding RNA, 284 nt
Organism: Teleopsis dalmanni
Lineage: Eukaryota; Metazoa; Arthropoda; Insecta; Diptera; Diopsidae
Exons: 2
Source: RefSeq, a predicted model, not a curated record
GAAUAAAUGCUCAUCACUUCAUAGUUCAAAGUCAAAGAAUACGAAGCGGUUGAAUUUUAAGAAAAAUGAAGUUUUUAUUUGCUUUCUUUUUGAUAUUAAGCAUAUUUGCUAUUUGCCUGGGCAUUAGUCCAAAGCUACUCGAAUCUUCACUGGACUCAGAACAUGGACAGUUUAGUAAUGACGAACUUUCACCUGGUACGCUAAAAAGACUGCCAGUACGUUAAGUCAAAUUGAAAAUAAUUCAAUUUUAUAUAAAAAUAAAAAGAACAUAAUAACUAAUACUA